UUGAACGCUGGCGGCAGGCCUAACACAUGCAAGUCGCGCGGAUGAAGGGAGCUUGCUCCUGGAUUCAGCGGCGGACGGGUGAGUAAUGCCUAGGAAUCUGUCUGGUAGUGGGGGAUAACGUCCGGAAACGGGCGCUAAUACCGCAUACGUCCUGAGGGAGAAAGUGGGGGAUCUUCGGACCUCACGCUAUCAGAUGAGCCUAGGUCGGAUUAGCUAGUUGGUGGGGUAAAGGCCUACCAAGGCGACGAUCCGUAACUGGUCUGAGAGGAUGAUCAGUCACACUGGAACUGAGACACGGUCCAGACUCCUACGGGAGGCAGCAGUGGGGAAUAUUGGACAAAGGGCGAAAGCCUGAUCCAGCCAUGCCGCGUGUGUGAAGAAGGUCUUCGGAUUGUAAAGCACUUUAAGUUGGGAGGAAGGGCAGUAAGUUAAUACCUUGCUGAUUUGACGUUACCAACAGAAUAAGCACCGGCUAACUUCGUG
RNAcentral lists this ribosomal RNA (483 nucleotides) under uncultured bacterium. RNAcentral describes it as "partial 16S ribosomal RNA". It matches the Rfam family "Bacterial small subunit ribosomal RNA", at positions 30 to 507 of the family's 1533-position model. The record is from RNAcentral.